GAGGAUGAAGAUUAUCUAAUGUUGGAGGGUUAUGAGGAAGACGUUGUCCAAGCGGACAGAUUGAGUGACUCUGCUGAGGAUGAAGACCAAUCCGUGGAUGAAAGCGUUCUGUAUGAAGGCGCGGUUUCAGAAUGAUUCCUGGGUUUUCUGGGAGUUUAAUCAGAUCCACUGAAACUGAAAGCAUUUGGUUGCCUUCACUUAUCCGUUGCAUGUUAUUCUGUUCAGACAAAGGUUUAUUCAAAACGAAACAAUAGACAAGCGCUCAUGGGUUGACAUGACUGUGACCAAUCAGAAGCAAAGACAGCCAACAAUGUGUCUACUGUCAGAUUCAUGUCAAAUAAUAGUGUGUUUGUACCUACUUAACUGUAUUUUGGAGACAAAUUCCCUGCUGAAAAAAACAAUAGAAACCAUCACAUAAAUGUUUAAUGGUUUCCACUACAAAUA
This is a long non-coding RNA of Sinocyclocheilus grahami, 444 nucleotides long. RefSeq lists it as uncharacterized. The record is from RefSeq and is a predicted model, not a curated record. The transcript is spliced from 3 exons. NCBI's taxonomy places the organism in Eukaryota, Metazoa, Chordata, Actinopteri, Cypriniformes, Cyprinidae.